This 465-nucleotide ribosomal RNA is filed under the name Vreelandella stevensii. Its description in RNAcentral is "partial 16S ribosomal RNA". It matches the Rfam family "Bacterial small subunit ribosomal RNA", at positions 338 to 795 of the family's 1533-position model. Lineage: Bacteria; Pseudomonadati; Pseudomonadota; Gammaproteobacteria; Oceanospirillales; Halomonadaceae. The record is from RNAcentral.
CCUACGGGGGGCAGCAGUGGGGAAUAUUGGACAAUGGGGGCAACCCUGAUCCAGCCAUGCCGCGUGUGUGAAGAAGGCCCUCGGGUUGUAAAGCACUUUCAGUGAGGAAGAACGCCUGGUGGUUAAUACCCAUCAGGAAAGACAUCACUCACAGAAGAAGCACCGGCUAACUCCGUGCCAGCAGCCGCGGUAAUACGGAGGGUGCGAGCGUUAAUCGGAAUUACUGGGCGUAAAGCGCGCGUAGGUGGCUUGAUAAGCCGGUUGUGAAAGCCCCGGGCUCAACCUGGGAACGGCAUCCGGAACUGUCAAGCUAGAGUGCAGGAGAGGAAGGUAGAAUUCCCGGUGUAGCGGUGAAAUGCGUAGAGAUCGGGAGGAAUACCAGUGGCGAAGGCGGCCUUCUGGAGUGACACUGACACUGAGGUGCGAAAGCGUGGGUAGCAAACAGGAUUAGAUACCCUAGUAGUC